Molecule: long non-coding RNA, 4046 nt
Organism: Symphalangus syndactylus (siamang)
Lineage: Eukaryota; Metazoa; Chordata; Mammalia; Primates; Hylobatidae
Source: RefSeq, a predicted model, not a curated record
UUUCCAAAGUUGGGGAGGGGUAAGACAAUGGACAGAAAAGGAGAGGUGCAUAUUCUUAUGAGGAUUACAGCAUGGAGAGUGAGUGUGUGCCAAGUAUGGAAUGGAAAACCAAAUGCCCUCCUCAGAGUCAUCCACACACAGUUGUCUUAGACGUGGUGAAGUAUUGAAGAUUCCUCAGUUACCUCCUUAAGAAGCUUCUACACCCAUGUGGUAUCUAGCUUUAAGGACUCGCAAAGCGGGACGCAGGGAGAUGGUGCAAAAGGAGUCUAGGAAGUCAAGGCUGCUGUAGCUUCUUCUCUGCUAACCUCUUGUUUAGAUGCGGAAGAAAUGCCCAGGGUGCCAACAGGGCAGCCACCCACUAACUUUCCAGAGCAGGCUUUGCUUCUAUUUGAUCACAGGUGACUGCCAUCAUCCUUUUUAUUCGUUGAAGGAAGGCAAGAGAGUGACUUUGUUUUAUGUGAGGGCAAUAAACCAAAUAAAUGCCCCCAGAAACGAACAGUAGCAGCAAAAUAUCAUCUUGGAUGAAGCAAGACAUCUGAAGCUCACGCAAGCCAGUGGAAAAAUUCUGCGGGGUAAAAUGCUGUUUUUGUAUGGGGGUAAAAUACGCAAGGCCAAAGUGACGAAGAAAAAGAAAAAUAUUAGUGUCUUUCUUUGCUAAGCCUGUAUUCCCUCUAUCGAAGUAAAAAAUAAUAACCAACUACUCUAUGAAGAUUUAAUUGUCCCUAUAUUUAAAUGAGGGAGUAAGAUACAAUUUUUAAAUAUAAAGGGCAUCAGAUGGCAAGUCAGAAUCUCUACCACUACCGAUCAGUAGGCAUGUUCUAGGCCUUGCUGUAGCACGUAGUAGCCAUAUGUCCCUGGCAAAGGCACUAUCAGGGCAUUAAUUUCCUCAUCUGUAAAAGUCACAUAAUAAUUGCUCUUCAUUAAAGGGCACCUCAUAAUUAACUCUUCAGACUAAUGUGUGAAGCAAGUAAGAAGGUGGUAUUCUUAUUUCUGGAAACAUGUUGACCUCACAGGUAUUUGAAUUCAGAAUACUCUAAACCACAAAUUCACACUUAAAAAUCAAAUCUUUUCACCAUGGACCCAAAUUGCCAUUCUGAUACUGCGUGUUGGCUUCCAUAGGGCAAAUACACACACCAGUUGGGUAGGGAAGCGAGUGGCCUGAUCUCAGCAAAUCUGAGUCCCUUCUAGGUAUUGGAGCUUACCUCUUGAACUAGGGAAGGAGUUGUUGAGUUGCUCCAUCACCUCCUCUAACCCUGUGCUUGUGUCCUGGGGAGGACUGAGAAGAUCUUCCUCACCUUAAAGCAAAAACAAAUAAUGGAAAAUUACAUUUAAACAAAACAGAUAUUAAAGAAAAGGGCCAUGAUUACAUUUUUAACACCAUUAUAAAUUCAUUUCACUUGCUCAUAAAUAACAAAAAAACCCCUCAAGCUUAAUAAUGAGGAAGUAAUUCUUUAAAGGGAAGAAGAAUUCCAUACAAUAGUUUAUCUAUAUCAUUACCCUUGGAGAAAAAAAAAAAAACAACUGUAUAUCUUUUUUUUUUUUUUUUGAGAUGGAGUCUUGCUCUGUCACCCAGGCUGGAGUGCAGUGGCACAAUCCUGGCUCACUGCAACCUCCACCUCCCAGGUUCAAACAAUUCUUCUGCCUCAGCCUCCCGAGUAGCUGGGACUACAGGCAUGCACCACCGUGUCCAGCUAAUUUUUGUAUUUUUAGUAGAGACAGGGUUUCACCAUAUUGGCCAGGCUGGUCUCGAACUCCUGACCUCAUGAUCCGCCCACCUCAGCCUCCCAAAGUGCUGGGAUUACAGGCGUGAGCCACCACGCCCGGCCUACUGUGUAUCUUUUUAAAAGUUGACUAGAAGAAUUACUUGAAAUGUGCCCCGCACAUAGAAAUGAUAAAUACAUGAGAUAAUGAAUACUCUAAAUACCCUGACUUGAUCAUUACACAUUCUGUGUAUGCAACAAAAUAUCACAUGCACUCCAUAAAUAUGUACAAAUAUUAUACUUCAGUAAAAAACAGGCUGGGUGCAGUUGCUCAUGCCUGUAAUCCCAGCCCUUUGGGAAGCCGAGGUGGGAGGAUUCUUUGUUUAUUGCCAGGAAUAUGAGAGCAGCUUGGGCAACAUAGUGAGACUCUGUCUCUAUUAAAAAAAAAAAAAAAAACCAAAAAAUAAAUUUAAAAAUUAAAAAGAAGUAAAAAAAAGUCAAUUUAAAAAGGUAAAACUGACAAACUCUCUUUGAUGCCCCAUUAACAAAUGUGAAACUUUGUUCUAUGGAGUAAGUAUUACUGCACACUCCUCAACACAAAAGAGUAAGAAUUGAACACUUUGCAGUCACUUCAUGAAGGUAAGAAGGGAGUUGAGACACUGAGGUCUUUUUUUCACUCUUUCUUUUGACAUUUAACCAAAAAUACAAAUGAAACUCAAGUACCCUUAAACUCCAAUGUAAUAGAAAUAAAAAUAGUAUGUGUCCUAUAUAGGUAAUGAGAUAUGAAUAUUCUAAAAACUGUAGAUAAUGGCAUAUAUUGGAGAGUUAUGGUCCUUUCCUCUUUGUUACUUGGGACUACUUGAUCAUAAUUAUGUUUUGGGUUUUAUAAAGAAGACAUUACAAAAAUUUAGACUGUUUAUGUGAGGAGAGAAGAAUGAUCUGGAAGCAAAGAAACCUAUGGAUGGAUGAUAUUCACUGGGAAUGGAAAUCUUGUAGAUUUUGUGGAUCUGUGUCUCUAUUGUUUGUUCAUGUGUUAAAGAAAUACACUUCAAAUAGCAUUUCCAAGUAAAAGGGAAAUUUCUUAGGUGCAAACAAAAUUAAACUCUAAAGGUCCUUUGAAACUAAUUUUUCAUAAUAUACAACCUUCCAAUAGUGAAAAUAACUUCUAUUCAAGCUCUUUUUGCACAUUGUCACUUCCAUCUGAAACAAGACCUUGCUUUAGCAAGUCUACCAUAAUGAACUUGCUUAGAGACAACCUCAGGUUUACAUCUGACUUGGAACUGCUUCGGAAGCCAGUGACUAAAUGACUUAAAUAUGCUUCUCAUUUCCUUUGGUCUAUGCCACUUGGAUUUUCAUGUAUGAUUAUAAUCCUGCAUUUAUUCCUUGUUUUUUUUUUUUUAACAGCAGAAGCUAAAAGAAUCAUUGCCAAUGCUAAUCAUUAAGACAAAAUCAUAUCCUAGGUGGAUGUGAGGCUUCAUAUUUUUAUUAGAAUGGAGGGAUAAGAACGUAAGGUCGAUAAAAAGCCUCAGACUACGUGAGUCUCCUGGUAACAUACCACGGGAAACCUCUUUGCAAUAUUAAGUACAGGAAAUGGGUGCUGAAGAAUUAAGGUCACAAAGCAGAAAAGGAAUAGUUACAAACUCUUUCUCUGUCUCCUCCUCCCCCCUCACACACAUGCACUAUUUGCUUAAGUUUAUACCUUUAGAAAAAGAAGUGAAAUUCAGUAUUUUUUAGUUUCAUUUUUCUUGCGGUUUUAAACUACCAUUAUCUGGUGAAGAUGAAGUGAAUGAAAUACUACCAAGAGGAUCAAGAUCCUGACAACUGCAGGGCUGACUGAUUACAUCUCUCUGUUCCAUUACUGAUGCAAAUUUUUGCUGAACUGGGAAACACGAGGCAUUUUUAAUGGCAGUAAGUCCACUUUAGUGACUGACAGUAUGCCUUACCGAAUAAAUCGGAACCAAGAGAACAUCAUGAACGACGCUCAUGAACAUUGAUGUUAAUAUUUCUGACAGUUUAAUUACAUCAUAUUGGAGCUCUAGGAACUCAAUUGUACUGUGUUAAAAUUCAGGUACAGUUCAAUGAAGUGACUGGCAUUCCUGUUCCUGAAUUAUUUCAAAGAUCAAAUUAUAAAGUAUAAACCUAAUGAUGUCAGCCAAGUUUAUCUUUCCAGAUAAACUCUCUGUGAGUCUUUAAUAUGAGUGUCCAAGUAUAAUACAAAUGUAAAAUUGGCUUAUUUGCUUUAAUGGAAAACUUUUAUAGCAGUGAUAAUUGUAUCCAUUCAGACAUUUUUCUGAGUGCCUGUUACAUUCUAGGUAGUAUAAAAACAAGUAGAGUAUAAUCUUGUUU